UUCGUCAGGCACGAAACAAUAUUUUCGCGUAUUGACCCCCCCUCACCCCCCAUGAAACCCUCACUUUCCCCAUUACUCAUCUCCCUCUUCCGUGAGCGGCGGCGACAGCGGCGGCGGCGCAUCUAGCAGAGAGGCCGGCGAGAGGUGAAUCCUCUACUCUUUCCCUCUCUCCUCCUUUCCUUCUAUCUCCCCACCUCCAUCAAUCAUGUGUGCCGGUUGGUCGUUGCGGAGGGCGUGCACGGAGGCGACGCUGGCUAGAUUUGAGGCGGCGGCGCGAGAUCUGAACGAGUACGGCGGCUGGGGGCUUGAGGAGGCGCGAGCGGCACCAGGAGGCCACCCAUGCCCACCGUGGGGAGCCUGGCCAUGGGAGGAGCUCGCCACCAGGGCCUGCAGGUGGAGGUGGAGAAGGAUUCUCCGACGAGCGGCGCAAGUGCACACGGGAGCUUCUCCACGGCGAGCGCAAGUGCAUCCGGUGCCGCGCUCGGCUGCAUGUGCACGGCUGAAUCCGCUCGGCUGCAUCGGCGUGUGUGUGUUCUGAAGUUUACUGUUGCAGACUGAUGCAUAAUGUUUAUGAGUGUGUGUGCUAGAGUCUGCUCAUGUGUGUGUGUACAAGACUGAUCUAUACUAUUUGUAUUUUUUUGUGGGAACUGAUUGUAUAUUAUCUACUAUUGCAGGAUAUUUCAAGGUCACCGUGAGCACUUCCAGCACAAUCCUUCAAUUGAGGUAACACAUACACCCCAUUGUCUAACCCCCUGUUUCUUUUUCUGAAAUGUUUGACAGUAGAAAAGAAUGUUGAUUUACCUCUGAAUAAUUGGCUUCUUAUAGACAGAUUGUUUGCUAUUGAAUUAUUCUUGUUAACAUGUUAAAGUAUCAUUUGUAAUUGCAUUGUAGAUGGACGGAAAAAUAAAGAUGUUAAUUUAUGGAGUGAAUUCCAGUUUUUACCUCUAAGUUUGACAUUUUUGACGCUAAUUACCCCAUUUAAGAGAAUUUCAUCCGGCAUACACCAUUUAACAAAAGUGUUGUCAGGGUUUACCCACUUCUAUUUUUUGUGAGCAUUCUGAUUCAUGGGUCACGAUUGCAAAGUCCACGUGCCAUGCCACAUUGUCGGUUUUUCUGGGUUUUUUCCUCGUGUGAAACCAGUCCACGCCGUUGAGCCCGACCGGAUCGCUGAACCGCACGCACCGUCAGUCAUGGCGAUCGACGCUCGACCCAGACCGCACCGCGUUCGCGUCUAGCCUAGCGCACGCACCGGUCGCCCGGCUUCUUACUGCACGCACCGCUCUCGCUCACGCCUAGGGUUAGGGAUUCGCUUACGACGGCGACGGCGUGUGCUGAAGGGAAAUGAUGGCAGCUGCAGGUGCUGAAUGACAUCGACGGCAACUGCGGGUGCUGAAUGGCGGCAACGGAGACGGCGGGUGCCUAAGGGCCGCGACGGUGGCAGCGGUGCUGAAGGGUCGUGACGGUGGCGGAGGGUGUUGAAGGGCGGCGAUGACAACGGCGUGCGGCUGCCGUGCCUCGAGCGUGUAGUCCCAUGCUGGCGCGUUAUCCCGCCCCGCCCGUCACUGUCAGCAAGUUCAGGUAUUUCUUUCUUCCUCUGAAUUGUUUCUCCAUGGAACUAGACUCCCUGUGCAUACAUCGUUAGCCUACUGUAUGUGUGAAUAGUUCUCGCUUGAUGCAGGGUGCAGUUAACUCCUCUAGUGAUACUGUGAUGGUUGGUUUGAUGAUGCUCCGGUGAUCCAUGGGCAAAGUCCAGGGUUUACCCUCUCCUCUAGUGAUCCAUGCGUGGCGCAACAGACUCCAGCGAGAUAUGCGUGGCGCGAUUGGAUGGGAUCGUGGUGAAUCAUACUCAAGCGACCUGUAAAUCGGUGAGGACAUGCGUCUGCGUGUGCUUGCCAUCGGCCCGGUCCGGUCGGCAGAAGCUGGCGAAUCGGUUCACUCUGUAGAAAAGUCGCCAAGGAAAAAAACCGACGACGUGGCACGCCACGUGGACCUGGUAAUCGGGGCCCAUAGAUCAGAACACUCACAAAAAAUAGAAGAGGGUAAUUUGUGGCAACACUUUUGUUAAAUGGGGUAUGUCGGAUAAAAUUCUCUUAAAUAGGGUAAUUAGCGUCAAAAAUGUUAAACUUAGGGGUAAAAACUGGAAUUCACUCUAAUUUAUGCGGCUGCGGCACAAUGGUUUAUCAACAUGAUAACAUUGGUUGUUCAAUCCAGAAAAAGAAAAAGAAGAGAAGCAAUUACGUAUGCCCCAAUUGAUGAGAGAGAUAGGAUGAGAAGAGAGUAUUUUGACAACAAAAUAUGGAAGAAUGACACAACUUGUGUGAACAUGCUUAGGCUUCGGAGAGAAUCUUUCUUUAGGUUUUGUCAACUGUUUAGGAAUCGCAACUUGCUAAAUGACACAAUACACUUGACUGUUGAGCAACAACUAGCAAUGUUUCUGCACACUGUUGGGCACAACAUUAGAAAUAGGGUAAUUGGCGCCAAUUUUGGUAGAUCCGGUGAAGUUGUGAGCCGUUACUUCAAAAGGGUAUUCCAUGCCAUUGGUGAGCUUCGAGAUGACCUUAUUAGGAAGUCUUCAUUGGAGACCCAAACCAAAAUAGAAGGAAACUACCGGUGGGAUCCAUACUUUAAGGUAUGUGAGACGGAGUGACAACUAUAUUUUGUCAUUGUAGGCAUGAAUUUGUUUAGAUCCUAAUUUUUGGGUUUUGUUUUCACCAAAUAGGAUUGUAUUGGAGCUAUUGAUGGCACACAUGUGUGAGCCUCCGUUACACCAGAUAUGGAGGCUGCCUUUCAUGGUAGAAAGACUUAUGCUACUCAAAAUGUGAUGGCGGCUGUAGAUUUUGACCUUCGAUUCACAUAUGUUUUGGCCGGUUGGGAGGGGACAUCACAUGAUGCUCUAGUUUUACGUGAUGCUUUAGAACGUGAGAAUGGUCUAUGUGUCCCACAAGGUAAUAGAUGAACUAUAUACAUCUGUAUUGUCAAUGGGGUAUUUAUAUAUAUAACCAAGUAACCUGAAUGUCCCUCGUUUAGGAAAAUUUUAUCUAGUUGAUGUUGGAUAUGGAGCCAAACCGGGUUUUUUGCCUCCUUUUCGUGGUGUGAGGUAUCACUUGAAUGAGUGGGGAAACAACCCCGUGCAAUACGAGAAGGAGCUAUUCAACCUUAGGCAUUCUUCUCUUCAUGUGACCGUAGAACGUGCAUUUGGCUCAUUGAAGAGAAGAUUCAAGAUACUUGAUGAUGCCACCCCAUUCUUUCUAUUUCCAACACAAGUUGACAUUGUUGUGGCUUGUUGCAUUAUUCACAAUUGGGUUAUAAAUGAUGGGAUAGAUGAAUAUAUCAUACCCGAGGAUGAAUGGGUGCCAAAUAUUACUCAUGCUUCGUCAUCAAGUGGUCAAGCACAUGAACAUGCAUACAUGGCUAGUUUUAGGCAAGGACUUGCUGAUCAAAUAUGGGAAGACCGACAAAACCAUUUGCAAGGUCAAAAUAUGUAGUAACUACUAUGUCAUUUAGGUCGUUGUGAUGAAUUAUUGUACUUUGUUGAACUAUUCUAUGUGCUGGAACUUAUUUGUAAGGACAUAUUAUUUGUUGAAAUUACUAUUUGUAAUGACUAUUAUUUGCUGAAUUAUUGUACUUUGUUACUAUUUGUAAUUACUAUUUAAGUUACUUUCUCAAUGUCCAAACCCGUGCAAAUUGUGAGGGUAAUCUCACCACCUCAAGUAAAAAAGAUUACCACAACCCUUAUCCUUCAUUCAUCCCUCGAACCAAACACUCUGAUGGCUAUCCUCAACCACGUUUCAUCCUCUGAACCAAACAAAACAUGGGAUAACCCUGUUGGGUUUCGUAAUAAUUUCAAAAAAAUUCCUACACACACGCAAGAUCAUGGUGAUGUAUAGCAACGAUAGGGGGAGAUUGUGAUCUACGUACCCUUGUAGAUCGACAACGGAAGCGUUAACUUGGUUGAUGUAGUCGUACGUCUCCACGGCCCGACCGAUCAAGCACCGAAACUACGGCACCUCCAAGUUCUAGCACACGUUCAGCUCGAUGACAAUCCCCGGACUCUGAUCCAGCAAAGUGUCGGGGAAGAGUUCCGUCAGCACGACGGCGUGGUGACGAUCUUGAUGUUCUACUGUUGCAGGGCUUCGCCUAAGCGCCGCUACAAUAUUAUCGAGGACUAUGGUGGAAGGGGGCACCGCACACGGCUAAGAAUAUGAUCACGUGGAUCAACUUGUGUGUCAAGGGGUGCCCCCUGCCCCCGUAUAUAAAGGAUCAAGGGGAGGAGGCCGGCCGGCCUCUAUGGCGCGCCAAGGAGGAGUCCUCCUCCUAGUAGGAGUAGGACUCCUACUAGGAGGGGGAAAGAAGUGGGGAGGGAGAGGGAAAGGGGGGCGCCGCCCCCCUCUCCUAGUCCAAUUCGGACCAGGAGGGAGGAGGCGCGCGGCCCACCUUUGGCUGCCCCUCUCUUACUCCACUAAGGCCCAUAUGGCCCAUUACUUCUCUCAGGGGGGUUCCGAUAACCCUUCGGCUCUCCGGUUUUCUCCGAAAUCACCCGGAACACUUCCGGUGUCCGAUUAUAGCCGUCCAAUAUAUCAAUCUUUAUGUCUCGACCAUUUCGAGACUCCUCGUCAUGUCCGUGAUCACAUCCGGGACUCCGAACUAACUUCGGUACAUCAAAACUCAUAAACUCAUAAUAUAACUGUCAUCGAAACCUUAAGCGUGCAGACCCUACGGGUUCGAGAACAAUGUAGACAUGACCGAGACACGUCUCCGGUCAAUAACCAAUAGCGGAACCUGGAUGCUCAUAUUGGCUCCUACAUAUUCUACGAAGAUGUCAGACCGCAUAACAACAUACGUUGUUCCCUUUGUCAUUGGUAUGUUACUUGCCCGAGAUUCGAUCGUCGGUAUCCCAUACCUAGUUCAAUCUCGUUACCGGCAAGUCUCUUUACUCGUUCCGUAAUACAUCAUCUCACAACUAACUCAUUAGUUGCAAUGCUUGCAAGGCUUAUGUGAUGUGUAUUACCGAGAGGGCCCUAGAGAUACCUCUCCGACAAUCGGAGUGACAAAUCCUCAUCUCGAAAUACGCCAACCCAACAUGUACCUUUGGAUACACCUGUAGAGCACCUUUAUAAGCACCCAUUUACGUUGUGACGUUUGGUAGCACACAAAGUGUUCCUCCGGCAAACGGGAGUUGCAUAAUCUCAUAGUCAUAGGAACAUGUAUAAGUCAUGAAGAAAGCAAUAGCAACAUACUAAACGAUCGGGUGCUAAGCUAAUGGAAUGGGUCAUGUCAAUCAGAUCAUUCAUCUAAUGAUGUGAUCCCGUUAAUCAAAUAACAACUCUUUGUUCAUGGUUAGGAAACAUAACCAUCUUUGAUCAACGAGCUAGUCAAGUAGAGGCAUACUAGUGACACUCUGUUUGUCUAUGUAUUCACACAUGUAUUAUGUUUCCGGUUAAUACAAUUCUAGCAUGAAUAAUAAACAUUUAUCAUGAUAUAAGGAAAUAAAUAAUAACUUUAUUAUUGCCUCUAGGGCAUAUUUCCUUCAGUCUCCCACUUGCACUAGAGUCAAUAAUCUAGAUUACACAGUAAUGAUUCUAACACCCAUGGAGCCUUGGUGCUGAUCAUGUUUUGCUCAUGGAAGAGGCUUAGUCAACGGGUCUGCAACAUUCAGAUCCGUAUGUAUCUUGCAAAUCUCUAUGUCUCCCAUCUGGACUAGACCCGGAUGGAAUUGAAGCGUCUCUUGAUGUGCUUGGUUUUCUUGUGAAAUCUGGAUUCCUUUGCCAAGGCAAUUGCAUCAGUAUUGUCACAAAAGAUUUUCAUUGGACCCGAUGCACUAGGUAUGACACCUAGAUCGGAUAUGAACUCCUUCAUCCAGACUCCUUUAUUUGCUGCUUUCGAAGCAGCUAUAUACUCCGCUUCACAUGUAGAUCCCGCUACAACGCUUUGUUUAGAACUGCACCAACUGACAGCUCCACCGUUUAAUGUAAACACGUAUCCGGUUUGUGAUUUAGAAUCGCCCGGAUCAGUGUCAAAGCUUGCAUCAACGUAACCUUUUACGAUGAGCUCUUUGUCACCUCCAUAUAUGAGAAACAUAUCCUUAGUCCUUUUCAGGUAUUUCAGGAUGUUCUUGACCGUUGUCCAGUGAUCCACUCCUGGAUCACUUUGGUACCUCCGUGCUAGACUUAUAGCAAGGCACACAUCAGGUCUGGUACACAACAUUGCAUACAUGAUAGAGCCUAUGGCUGAAGCAUAGGGAACAUCUUUCAUUUUCUCUCUAUCUUCUGCAGUGGUCGGGAAUUGAGUCUUACUCAACUUCACACCUUGUAACACAGGCAAGAACCCUUUCUUUGCUUGAUCCAUUUUGAACUUCUUCAAAACUUUGUCAAGGUAUGUUCUUUGUGAAAGCCCAAUUAAGCGUCUUGAUCUAUCUCUAUAGAUCUUAAUGCCUAAUAUGUAAGCAGCUUCACCGAGGUCUUUCAUUGAAAAACUCUUAUUCAACUAUCCCUUUAUGCUAUCCAGAAAUUCUAUAUCAUUUCCAGUUAGUAAUAUGUCAUCCACAUAUAAUAUCAGAAAUGCUACAGAGCUCCCACUCACUUUCUUGUAAAUACAGGCUUCUCCAAAAGUCUGUAUAAAACCAAAUGCUUUGAUCACACUAUCAAAGCGUUUAUUCUAACUCCGAGAGGCUUGCACCAGUCCAUAAAUGGAUCACUGGAGCUUGCACACUUUGUUAGCUCCCUUUGGAUCGACAAAACCUUCUGGUUGUAUCAUAUACAACUCUUUUUCCAGAAAUCCAUUCAAAAAUGUAGUUUUGACAUCCAUCUGCCAAAUUUCAUAAUCAUAAAAUGCGGCAAUUGCUAACAUGAUUCGGACAGACUUAAGCAUCGCUACGGGUGAGAAGGUCUCAUCGUAGUCAAUCCCUUGAACUUGUCGAAAACCUUUUGCGACAAGUCGAGCUUUGUAGACAGUAAUAUUACCGUCAGCGUCAGUCUUCUUCUUGAAGAUCCAUUUAUUCUCAAUUGCUUGCCGAUCAUCGGGCAAGUCAACCAAAGUCCAUACUUUGUUCUCAUACAUGGAUCCCAUCUCAUAUUUCAUGGCUUCAAGCCAUUUUGCGGAAUCUGGGCUCAUCAUCGCUUCUUCAUAGUUCGUAGGUUCAUCAUGAUCUAGUAGCAUGACUUCCAGAACAGGAUUACCAUACCACUCUGGCGCGGAUCUCACUCUGGUUGAUCUACGAGGUUCAGUAGUAUCUUGUCCUGAAGUUUCAUGAUCAUCAUCAUUAACUUCCUCACUAAUUGGUGUAGGUGUCACAAAAACAGUUUUCUGUGAUUCACUAUUUCCAAUAAGGGAGCAGGUACAGUUACCUCGUCAAGUUCUACUUUCCUCCCACUCACUUCUUUCGAGAGAAACUCCUUCAGAAAGUUUCCGAACUUAGCAACAAAAGUCUUGCCUUCGGAUCUGUGAUAGAAGGUGUAUCCAAUAGUCUCCAUUGGAUAUCCUAUGAAGACACAUUUCUCCGAUUUGGGUUCGAGCUUUUGAAGCUUUUUCACAUAAGCAUCGCAGCCCCAAACUUUCAGAAACAACAACUUUGGUUUCUUGCCAAACCAUAGUUCAUAAGGCGUCAUCUCAACGGAUUUUGAUGGUGCCCUAUUUAACGUGAAUGCGGCCGUCUCAAAAGCAUAACCCCAAAACGAUAGCGGUAAAUCAGUAAGAGACAUCAUAGAUCGCUCCAUAUCUAGUAAAGUACGAUUACGACGUUCGGACACACCAUUACGUUGUGGUGUUCCGGGUGGCGUGAGUUGUGAAACUAUUCCGCAUUUUUUCAAAUGUACACCAAACUCGUAACUCAAAUAUUCUCCCCCACGAUCAGAUCGUAGAAACUUUAUUUUCUUGUUACGACGAUUUUCAACUUCACUCUGAAAUUCUUUGAACUUUUCAAACGUUUCAGACUUAUGUUUCAUUAAGUAGAUAUACCAAUAUCUGCUUAAGUCAUCUGUGAAGGUGAGAAAAUAACGAUAUCCGCCACGAGCCUCAAUAUUCAUCGGACCACAUACAUCUGUAUGUAUGAUUUCCAAUAAAUCUGUUGCUCUCUCCAUAGUACCGGAGAACGGCGUUUUAGUCAUCUUGCCCAUGAGGCACAGUUCGCAAGUACCAAGUGAUUCAUAAUCAAGUGGUUCCAAAAGUCCAUCAGUAUGGAGUUUCUUCAUGCGUUUUACACCGAUAUGACCUAAACGGCAGUGCCACAAAUAAGUUGCACUAUCAUUAUCAACUCUGCAUCUUUUGGCUUCAACAUUAUGAAUAUGUGUGUUACUACUAUCGAGAUUCAAUAAAAAUAGACCACUCUUCAAGGGUGCAUGACCAUAAAAGAUAUUACUCAUAUAAAUUGAACAACCAUUAUUCUCUGAUUUAAAUGAAUAACCGUCUCGCAUCAAACAAGAUCCAGAUAUAAUGUUCAUGCUUAACGCUGGCACCAAAUAACAACUAUUUAGGUCUAAUAUUAAUCCCGAAGGUAGAUGUAGAGGUAGCGUGCCGACCGCGAUCACAUCGACUUUGGAACCGUUUCCCACACACAUCGUCACCUCGUCCUUAGCCAAUCUUCGCUUAAUCCGUAGUCCAUGUUUCGAGUUGCAAAUAUUAGCAACAGAACCGGUAUCAAAUACCCAGGUGCUAUUGCGAGCAUUAGUAAGGUACACAUCAAUAACAUGUAUAUCACAUAUACCUUUGUUCACCUUGCCAUCCUUCUUAUCCGCCAAAUAUUUGGGGCAGUUCCGCUUCCAGUGACCAGUCUGCUUGCAGUAGUAGCACUCAGUUUUAGGCUUAGGUCCAGGUUUGGGCUUCUUCUCUUGAGUAGCAACUUGCUUGCUAUUCUUUUUGAAGUUUCCCUUCUUCUUCCCUUUGCCCUUUUUGUUGAAACUAGUGGUCUUGUUGACCAUCAACACUUGAUGCUCCUUCUUGAUUUCUACCUCCGCAGCUUUCAGCAUUGCGAAGAGCUCGGGGAUAGUCAUAUUCAUCCCUCGCAUAUUAUAGUUCAUCACGAAGCUCUUAUAGCUUGGUGGCAGUGAUUGGAGAAUUCUGUCAAUGACGCAAUCAUCUGGAAGAUUAACUCCAAUUGAAUCAAGUGAUUAUUAUACACAGACAUUUUAAGUAUAUGCUCACUGACAGAACUGUUCUCCUCCAUCUUGCAGCUAUAGAACUUAUUGGAGACUUCAUAUCUCUCAAUCCGGGCAUUUGCUUGAAAUAUUAACUUCAACUCCUAGAACAUCUCAUAUGCUCCAUGACGUUCAAAACGUCGUUGAAGUCCCGAUUCUAAGCCGUAAAGCAUGGCACACUGAACUAUCGAGUAGUCAUCAGCUUUGCUCUGCCAGACGUUCAUAACAUCUGGUGUUGCUCCAGCAGCAGGCCUGGCACCCAACGGUGCUUUCAGGACGUAAUUCUUCUGUGCAGCAAUGAGGAUAAUCCUCAAGUUACGGACCCAGUCCGUGUAAUUGCUACCAUCAUCUUUCAACUUUGCUUUCUCAAGGAACGCAUUAAAAUUCAACGGAACAACAACAUGAGCCAUCUAUCUACAAUCAAGCAUAAACAAGCAAGAUACUAUCAGGUACUAAGUUUCAUGAUAAAUUUAGGUUCAAAUAAUUUACUUAAAGAACUCCCACUUAGAUAGACAUCCCUCUAAUCCUCUAAGUGAUUACGUGAUCCAAAUCAACUAAACCAUGUCCGAUCAUCACGUGAGAUGGAGUAGUUUCAUUGGUGAACAUCACUAUGUUGAUCAUAUCUUCUAUAUGAUUCACGCUCGACAUUUCGGUCUCCGUGUUCCGAGGCCAUAUCUGUAUAUGCUUGGCUCGUCAAGUAUAACCUGAGUAUUCCGCGUGUGCAACUAUUUUGCACCCGUUGUAUUUGAACGUAGAGCCUAUCACACCCGAUCAUCACGUGGUGUCCCAGCACGAAGAACUUUCGCAACGGUGCAUACUCAGGGAGAACACUUCUUGAUAAUUAGUGAGAGAUCAUCUUAUAAUGCUACCGUCAAUCAAAGCAAGAUAAGAUGCAUAAAAGAUAAACAUCACAUGCAAUCAAUAUAAGUGAUAUGAUGUGGCCAUCAUCAUCUUGUGCUUGUGAUCUCCAUCUUCGAAGCACCGUCGUGAUCACCAUCGUCACCGGCGCGACACCUUGAUCUCCAUCGUAGCAUCGUUGUCAUCUCGCCAAUCUUAUGCUUCCACGACUAUCGCUAGCGCUUAGUGAUAAAGUAAAGCAUUACAGCGCGAUUGCAUUGCAUACAAUAAAGCGACAACCAUAUGGCUCCUGCCAGUUGCCGAUAACUCGGUUACAAAACAUGAUCAUCUCAUACAAUAAAAUUUAGCAUCAUGUCUUGACCAUAUCACAUCACAACAUGCCCUGCAAAAACAAGUUAUACGUCCUCUACUUUGUUGUUGCAAGUUUUACGUGGCUGCUACGGGCUAAAGCAAGAACCAAUCUUACCUACGCAUCAAAACCACAACGAUAGUUUGUCAAGUUGGUGCUGUUUUAACCUUCGCAAGGACCGGGCGUAGCCACACUCGGUUCAACUAAAGUUGGAGAAACUGUCACCUGCAAGCCACCUAUGUGCAAAGCACAUCGGGAGAACCGGUCUCGCAUAAGCGUACGCGUAAUGUCGGUCCGGGCCGCUUCGUCCAACAAUAACGCCGAACCAAAGUAUGACAUGCUGAUAAGCAGUAUGACUUAUAUCGCCCACAACUCACUUGUGUUCUACUCGUGCAUAUAACAUCAACAUAUAAAACCUAGGCUCGGAUGCCACUGUUGGGUUUCGUAGUAAUUUCAAAAAAAUUCCUACGCACACGCAAGAUCAUGGUGAUGUAUAGAAAUGAGAGGGGGAAAUUGUGAUCUACGUACCCUUGUAGAUCGACAACGGAAGCGUUAACUUGGUUGAUGUAGUCGUACGUCUCCACGACCCGACCGAUCAAGCACCGAAACUACGGCACCUCCGAGUUCUAGCACACGUUCAGCUCGAUGACGAUCCCCGGACUCCGAUCCAGCAAAGUGUCGAGGAAGAGUUCCAUCAGCAGGACGGCGUGGUGACGAUCUUGAUGUUCUACUAUAGUAGGGUUUCGCCUAAGCGCCGCUACAAUAUUAUCGAGGACUAUGGUGGAAGGGGGCACCGCACAUGGCUAAGAAUAUGAUCACGUGGAUCAACUUGUGUGUCAAGGGGUGCCCCCUGCCCCCGUAUAUAAAGGAUCAAGGGGAGGAGGCCGGCCGGCCUCUAUGGCGCGCCAAGGAGGAGUCCUCCUCCUACUAGGAGUAGGACUCCUACUAGGAGGGGGAAAUAAGUGGGGAGGGAGAGGGAAAGGGGGGCGCCGCCCCCCUAUCCUAGUCCAAUUCGGACCAGGGGGAGGAGGCGCGCGGCCCACCUUUGACUGCCCCUCUCUUACUCCACUAAGGCCCAUAUGGCCCAUUACUUCUCCCGGGGGGGGGGGGGUCCGGUAACCCUCCGGCUCUCCGGUUUUCUCCGAAAUCACCCGGAACACUUCCGGUGUCUGAAUAUAGCCGUCCAAUAUAUCAAUCUUUAUGUCUGACCAUUUCGAGACUCCUCAUCAUGUCCGUGAUCACAUCCGGGACUCCGAACUAACUUCGGUACAUCAAAACUCAUAAACUCAUGAUAUAACUGUCAUCGAAACCUUAAGCGUGCGGACCCUUACGGGUUCGAGAACAAUGUAGACAUGACCGAGACACGUCUCCGGCCAAUAACCAAUAGUGGAACCUGGAUGCUCAUAUUGGCUCCUACAUAUUCUAUGAAGAUCUUUAUCGGUCAGACCGCAUAACAACAUACGUUGUUCCCUUUGUCAUCGGUAUGUUACUUGCCCGAGAUUCGAUCGUCGGUAUCCCAUACCUAGUUCAAUCUCGUUACCGACAAGUCUCUUUACUCGUUCCGUAAUACAUCAUCUCACAACUAACUCAUUAGUUGCAAUGCUUGCAAGGCUUAUGUGAUGUGUAUUACCGAGAGGGCCCUAGAGAUACCUCUCCGACAAUCGGAGUGACAAAUCCUAAUUUCGAAAUAUGCCAACCCAACAUGUACCUUUGGAGACACCUGUAGAGCACCUUUAUAAUCACCCAUUUACGUUGUGAUGUUUGGUAGCACACAAAGUGUUCCUCCGGCAAACGGGAGUUGCAUAAUCUCAUAGUCAUAGGAACAUGUAUAAGUCAUGAAGAAAGCAAUAGCAACAUACUAAACGAUCGGGUGCUAAGCUAAUGGAAUGGGUCAUGUCAAUCAGAUCAUUCAUCUAAUGAUGUGAUCCCGUUAAUCAAAUAACAACUCUUUGUUCAUGGUUAGGAAACAUAACCAUCUUUGAUCAACGAGCUAGUCAAGUAGAGGCAUACUAGUGACACUCUGUUUGUCUAUGUAUUCACACAUGUAUUAUGUUUCCGGUUAAUACAAUUCUAGCAUGAAUAAUAAACAUUUAUCAUGAUAUAAGGAAAUAAAUAAUAACUUUAUUAUUGCCUCUAGGGCAUAUUUCCUUCAAACCCUACCCUUCCAACCAAACAGAAAAAAGGCUAUCCCUAGCCACCUGGUUGGGGAUACCCACAACCACCCUAGCUUGUCCAUGCAACCAAACACAUCCUAAAGCAGUUGAGGGUUCUAGUCUUUGCCUCAACCCCAACCUUUAAAUCUAUUAUUUGACAUCUCACAAUUUAUGACAAUAAGAACACAAUCAACUUCCAAACAAACUAUCAAAUGACAAUUAUUGAUGCAUGGUUUAAUAGUUUACAUCACAAAAUCAUCAUCUUCCUCCUCUUAUCGGCACCAUCACCAAAAAGUUGCACCUCGGCGCCAUCUCCUAGACCACAUGCGGGCUCCAUCAAGCAUCUCCAUGGGCACCGGUGGAGUCGUACACACCGCCAUUGCCACAACUACUCAUCGGAGUGUCACCUCGAAAAGUAGAGGACGCAACACGGAACAUCCUCUUCCUCUCCGCGAUGUCCUCCUUGUAGUCCUUCCACCAUUGCAAUUGGUCUUGAUCCAUGUCCUUCUUGGACAUCAUCAUGUGCUCUUUCUCUUCCACCAUGAGUUCUUUACAUACCUUUGUCUCUGAUCUUGAUCAUCCUCUCCUCCAACUCGGCCUUGCGCCUUGCUUCUUCACGCUUUGCUUCAACUUGUGCAAGCUUGACCUCUUUCUUCUUCUUGGUGAUAACAAGCUUCGUCUCCAAUGUCUUCGUUGUCAAUUCCUCUCUUGCCUUCAUCAUGUGGUCCAUCUUCUCCCUUAGGCUUGACGCCUCUUCUUCCAUCUUCACCCUUAGCUUGCCCUUCUUGGUUCCCUCGGGCUUGCCCAAGUUCCUCUCCUCCUCAUCUUCACUAUCAUCCAUCCUAAGCAUUGCCAACUUCUUGGGUGCGGUCUCUUGAUCCCUCAACUUCCACUUGCCAAAGGUUUGAAGAAUUGUCCAAGCAUGCUUAAAUGGGAAUGUCUUGCCCUUGGAAGCGGCCAUCUUCUUGUACCUCAUGCCGGCAAUUGUCUCCUAUCAACCACACAUAAAUUACAUAAGAACCCACCAAUAGCAUAGUACACACACAUAAUCAAAAUAGUGAAGAAAUAUGUACUCACAUAGUCACUCUCCACGGUUCGACUAGGUGGUGCAUCCCUCACUUGGUCCAUGGCCGCACUCCAACGAGCACAAGCGGGCUUCAUCAACUCCCACCGGCCUUGAAGCGACCGGUAAGUGCGAGAGAUGAACCCACUAUUCUUAGGCUUGAUCCUACAAUAGGUGUCCUCGAUCCUUUGCCAAUACCGUUUACCGGUUUGAUCGGUGCCGGUGGUUGCAUCCAUUCCCACAGCUUCCCAAGCACGAACCAAGAGGAUAUCUUCCGCCUCGGUGUAGUUUGUCGACCGCGCGUGUGGGCGGGAAGCGGCGGUGAAUGCCUCCUCCCCUAUCUCGGCCACCUCCUUGUCGUCAUCACCUUCAUCUCCUCAUCUUCCUCUAAGUUGUCACCAACCCUAAAGGGUUCGAGAGGCAGAGCCCCUGUUGGGUAACGUUGCAGAAAAUAAAAUUUUCCUACUCGUUUCACCAAGAUCAUCUAGGAGUUCAUCUAGCAACGAGUGAAUAGAUGCAUCUACAUACCUUGUAGAUCGCAAGCGGAAGCGUUCAAAGAACGGGGAUGAUGUAGUCGAACACGACGUGAUUCGAAUCACCGGAGAUCCUAGCACCGAACGGACGGCACCUCCGCGUUCAACACACGUACGGAACAGCCACGUCUCCUCCUUCUUGAUCCAGCAAGGGAGGGAGGAGAGGUUGAGGGAGAUGGCACCAGCAGCAGCACGACGGCGUGGUGUUGAUGGAGCUGCAGUACUCCGGCAGAGCUUCGCUAAGCAAUAAGGAGGUGGAGGAGGUGUUGGGGAGGGAGAAGGAGGCAACCAAAGGCCAAGGACUCAAGGUAUGAAGUCCCUCCUCUCCCCCACUAUAUAUAGGGGUGCCAAAGGGGGGUGGCCGGCCCUAGGAGAUCCAAUCUCCUAGGGGGUGCGGCGGCCAAGGGGGGUUUCCCUCCCCCCCAAGGCACCUAGGAGGUGCCUUACCCUCCUAGGACUCUUUCCCCCUUAAACCCUAGGCGCAUGGGCUUAUGUGGGGCUGGUGCCCUUGGCCCAAGCAGGCCAAGGCGCACCCCCUACAGCCAUGUGCCCCCCGGGGAUGGGUGGCCCCACCCGGUGGGCCCCCGGGACCCCUCCGGUGGUCCCGGUACAAUACCGAUAACCCCGAAACUUGUCCCGAUGCCCGAAACAGGACUUCCCAUAUAUAAAUCUUUACCUCCGGACCAUUCCGGAACUCCUCGUGACGUCCGGGAUCUCAUCCGGGACUCCGAACAACAUUCGGGUUACUGCAUAUACAUAUCCCUACAACCCUAGCGUAACUGAACCUUAAGUGUGUAGACCCUACGGGUUCGGGAGACAUGUAGACAUGACCGAGAUCGCUCUCCGGUCAAUAACCAACAGCGGGAUCUGGAUACCCAUGUUGGCUCCCACAUGCUCCACGAUGAUCUCAUCGGAUGAACCACGAUGUCGAGGAUUUAAUCAACCCCGUAUGCAAUUCCCUUUGUCAAUCGAUAUGUUACUUGCCCGAGAUUCGAUCGUCGGUAUCCCAAUACCUCGUUCAAUCUUGUUACCGGCAAGUCACUUUACUCGUACCGUAAUGCAUGAUCCCGUGACCAAACACUUGGUCACUUUGAGCUCAUAAUGAUGAUGCAUUACUGAGUGGGCCCAGUGAUAUCUCUCCGUCAUACGGAGUGACAAAUCCCAGUCUCGAUCCAUAUAAAACAAUAGAUACUUUCGGAGAUACCUGUAGUGCACCUUUAUAGUCACCCAGUUACGUUGUGACGUUUGAUACACCCAAAGCACUCCUACGGUAUCCAGGAGUUAUACGAUCUCAUGGUCGAAGGAAGAGAUACUUUGACAUUGCAAAACUCUAGCAAACGAACUAUACGAUCUUGUGCUAUGUUUAGGAUUGGGUCUUGUCCAUCACAUCAUCAUCCUAAUGAUGUGAUCCCGUUAUCAAUGACAUCCAAUGUCCAUAGCCAGGAAACCAUGACUAUCUAUUGAUCAACGAGCUAGUCAACUAGAGGCUUACUAGGGACAUGUUGGUGUCUGUUAUUCACACAUGUAUUACGAUUUCCGGAUAACACAAUUAUAGCAUGAAUAAAGACAAUUAUCAUGAACAAAGAAAUAUAAUAAUAAUGCUUUUAUUAUUGCCUCUAGGGCAUAUUUCCAACAGUCUCCCACUUGCACUAGAGUCAAUAAUCUAGUUACAUUGUGAUGAAUCGAACACCCAUGGAAUCCUGGUGUUGAUCAUGUUUUGCUCUUGGGAGAGGUUUAGUCAACGGAUCUGCUACAUUCAGGUCCGUAUGUACUUUACAAAUCUCUAUGUCUCCAUCUUGAACAUUUUCACGGAUGGAGUUGAAGCGACGCUUGAUGUGCCUUGUCUUCUUGUGAAACCUGGGCUCCUUGGCAAGUGCAAUAGCUCCAGUGUUGUCACAGAAGAGCUUGAUCGGCCCCGACGCAUUGGGUAUGACUCCUAGGUCGGUGAUGAACUCCUUCACCCAUAUUGCUUCAUGUGCUGCCUCCGAGGCUGCCAUGUACUCCGCUUCACAUGUAGAUCCCGCCACGACGCUCUGCUUGCAACUGCACCAGCUUACUGCCCCACCAUUCAAAAUAUACACGUAUCCGGUUUGUGACUUAGAGUCAUCCAGAUCUGUGUCGAAGCUAGCGUCGACGUAACCUUUUACGACGAGCUCUUCGUCACCUCCAUAAACGAGAAACAUUUCCUUAGUCCUUUUCAGGUACUUCAGGAUAUUCUUGACCGCUGUCCAGUGUUCCUUGCCGGGAUUACUUUGGUACCUUCCUACCAAACUUAUGGCAAGGUUUACAUCAGGUCUGGUACACAGCAUGGCAUACAUAAUAGAACCUAUGGAUGAGGCAUAGGGGAUGACACUCAUCUCUUCUAUCUCUGCUGCCGUGGUCGGACAUUGAGCUGAGCUCAAUUUCACACCUUGCAAAACAGGCAAGAACCCUUUCUUGGACUGAUCCAUUUUGAACUUCUUCAAAAUCUUAUCAAGAUAUGUGCUUUGUGAAAGACCUAUGAGGCGUCUUGAUCUAUCCCUAUAGAUCUUGAUGCCUAAUAUAUAAGCAGCUUCUCCAAGGUCCUUCAUUGAAAAACUCUUAUUCAAGUAGGCCUUAAUGCUGUCCAAAAGUUCUAUAUCAUUUCCCAUCAAAAGUAUGUCAUCUACAUAUAGUAUGAGAAAUGCUAUAGAGCUCCCACUCACUUUCUUGUAAACACAGGCUUCUCCAUAAGUCUGUGUAAACCCAAACGCUUUGAUCAUCUCAUCAAAACGAAUGUUCCAACUCCGAGAUGCUUGCACCAGCCCAUAAAUCGAGCGUUGGAGCUUGCACACCUUGUCAGCAUUUUUAGGAUCGACAAAACCUUUCGGCUGCAUCAUAUACAAUUCUUCCUUAAGGAAACCAUUAAGGAAUGCCGUUUUGACGUCCAUUUGCCAAAUUUCAUAAUCAUAAAAUGCGGCAAUUGCUAACAUGAUUCGGACGGACUUCAGCUUCGCUACCGGUGAGAAAGUCUCAUCGUAGUCAACCCCUUGAACUUGUCGAUAACCCUUAGCGACAAGCCGAGCUUUAUAGAUGGUCACAUUACCAUUCGCGUCUGUCUUCUUCUUAAAGAUCCAUUUAUUUUCUAUGGCUCGCCGUUCUACGGGCAAGUCAGUCAAAGUCCAUACUUCGUUUUCAUACAUGGAUCCUAUCUCGGAUUUCAUGGCUUCUAGCCAUUUGUCGGAAUCCGGACCCGCCAUCGCUUCUUCAUAGUUCGAAGGUUCACCGUUGUCUAACAACAUGAUUUCCAAGACAGGGUUGCCGUACCACUCUGGUGCGGAACGUGUCCUCGUGGACCUUCGAAUUUCAGUAGGAGCUUGAUCUGAAGUAUCUUGAUCAUUAUCAUUAACUUCCUCUCUAGUCGGUGCAGGCACCUCAGGAACAUUUUCUUGAGUUGCGCCAUUUUCUGGUUCAAGAGGUAAUACUUCAUCAAGCUCUACUUUCCUCCCACUUACUUCUUUCGAGAGAAACUCUUUCUCCAGAAAGGACCCAUUCUUGGCAACAAAGAUCUUGCCUUCGGAUCUGAGGUAGAAGAUAUACCCAACAGUUUCUUUAGGGUAUCCUAUGAAGACGCAUUUUUCCGAUUUGGGUUCGAGCUUUUCAGGUUGAAGUUUCCUGACAUAAGCAUCGCAUCCCCAAACUUUUAGAAAUGACAGCUUAGAUUUCUUCCCAAACCAUAAUUCAUACGGUGUCGUCUCAACGGAUUUCGACGGGGCCCUAUUUAAAGUGAAUGCGGCAGUCUCUAAAGCAUAGCCCCAAAAAGAUAGUGGUAAAUCGGCAAGAGACAUCAUAGAUCGCACCAUAUCUAAUAGAGUGCGAUUACGACGUUCGGACACACCAUUACGCUGAGGUGUUCCAGGCGGCGUGAGUUGUGAAACUAUUCCACAUUUUCUUAAGUGUGUACCAAACUCGUGACUCAAGUAUUCUCCUCCACGAUCUGAUCGUAGAAACUUGAUUUUCCUGUCACGUUGAUUCUCAACUUCACUCUGAAAUUCCUUGAACUUUUCAAAGGUCUCAGACUUGUGUUUCAUUAAGUAGACAUACCCAUAUCUACUCAAGUCAUUAGUGAGGGUGAGAACAUAACGAUAGCCACCGCGAGCCUCAACACUCAUUGGACCGCACACAUCAGUAUGUAUGAUUUCCAAUAAGUUGGUUGCUCUCUCCAUUGUUCCUGAGAAUGGAGUCUUGGUCAUUUUACCCAUGAGGCAUGGUUCGCACGUGUCAAAUGAUUCGUAAUCAAGAGACUCUAAAAGUCCAUCAGCAUGGAGCUUCUUCAUGCGUUUGACACCUAUGUGACCGAGGCGGCAGUGCCACAAGUAUGUGGGACUAUCACUAUCAAUCUUACAUCUUUUGGUACUUACACUAUGAAUAUGUGUAGCAUUACGCUCGAGAUUCAUAAAGAAUAAACCAUUCACCAUCGGAGCAUGACCAUAAAACAUAUCUCUCAUAUAAAUAGAAUAACCAUUAUUCUCGGAUUUAAAUGAGUAGCCAUCUCGAAUUAAACGAGGUCCUGAUACAAUGUUCAUGCUCAAACUUGGCACAAAAUAACAAUUAUUGAGGUUCAAAACUAAUCCCGUAGGUAAAUGUAGAGGUAGCGUGCCGACGGCGAUCACAUCGACCUUGGAACCAUUCCCGACGCGCAUCGUCACCUCGUCCUUCGCCAGUCUCCGUUUAUUCCGCAGCUCCUGUUGUGUGUUACAAAUAUGAGCAACGGCACCGGUAUCAAAUACCCAGGAGUUACUACGAUUACUGGUAAGGUACACAUCAAUUACAUGUAUAUCAAAUAUACCUUUGGUUUUGCCGGCCUUCUUGUUCGCUAAGUAUUUGGGGCAAUUCCGCUUCCAGUGACCACUUUCCUUGCAAUAAAAACACUCAGUCUCGGGCUUGGGUCCAUUCUUUGGCUUCUUCCCGGCAGCUUGCUUGCUGGGCGUAGCAACUACCUUGCCGUCUUUCUUGAAGUUCUUUUUACCCUUGCCCUUCUUGAACUUAGUGGUUUUAUUGACCAUCAACACUUGAUGUUCCUUUCUGACUUCUACCUCUGCUGAUUUCAGCAUAGCAAAUACUUCAGGAAUGGUCUUUUCCAUCCCCUGCAUAUUGAAGUUCAUCACAAAGCUCUUGUAGCUCGGUGGAAGCGACUGGAGGAUUCUGUCAAUGACCGCAUCAUCCGGGAGAUUAACUCCCAGCUGAGUCAAGCGGUUAUGCAACCCAGACAUAGUGAGUAUGUGCUCACUGACAGAACUGUUUUCCUCCAUCUUACAGCUGAAGAAUUUGUCGGAGACUUCAUAUCUCUCGACCCGGGCAUGAGCUUGGAAAACCAUUUUCAGCUCUUCGAACAUCUCAUAUGCUCCAUGUCUCUCAAAACGCUUUUGGAGCCCCGGCUCUAGGCUGUAAAGCAUGCCGCACUGAACGAGGGAGUAGUCAUCGGAACGUGCCUGCCAAGCGUUCAUAACGUCUUGUUCCGCAGGGAGAACGGGUGCGUCACCAAGCGGUGCUUGUAGGACAUAAUCUUUCUUGGCAGCUAUGAGGAUGAUCCUCAGGUUCCGGACCCAGUCCGUAUAGUUGCUUCCAUCGUCUUUCAGCUUGGUUUUCUCUAGGAACGCGUUGAAGUUGAGGACUACGUUGGCCAUUUGAUCUACAAGACAUAUUGCAAAGAUUUUAGACUAAGUUCAUGAUAAUUAAGUUCAUCUAAUCAAAUUAUAAUGAACUCCCACUCAGAUUUGACAUCCCUUUGGUCAUCUAAGUGUUACACGAUCCGAGUCGACUAGGCCGUGUCCGAUCAUCACGUGAGACGGACUAGUCAUCGUCGGUGAACAUUCUCAUGUAGAUCGUAUCUUCCAUACGACUCGUGUUCGACCUUUCGGUCUCCGUGUUCCGAGGCCAUGUCUGUACAUGCUAGGCUCGUCAAGUUAACCCUAAGUGUUUUCGCUGUGUAAAACUGUCUUACACCCGUUGUAUGUGAACGUAAGAAUCUAUCACACCCGAUCAUCACGUGGUGCUUCGAAACGACGAACUGUAGCAACGGUGCACAGUUAGGGGAGAACACUUCUUGAAAUUUUGUAAGGGAUCAUCUUAUUUACUACCGUCGUUCUAAGUAAACAAGAUGCAUAAAACAUAAUAAACAUCACAUGCAAUUAUAUAAAGUAGUGACAUGAUAUGGCCAAUAUCAUAUAGCUCCUUUGAUCUUCAUCUUCGGGGCUCCAUGAUCAUCUUGUCACCGGCAUGACACCAUGAUCUCCAUCAUCAUGAUCUCCAUCAUCGUGUCUUCAUGAAGUUGUCACGCCAACGACUACUUCUACUUCUAUGACUAACGCGUUUAGUAAUAAAGUAAAAUAGUUUACAUGGCGUUCUUUAAUGACACGCAGGUCAUACAAAAAAUAAAGACAACUCCUAUGGCUCCUGCCGGUUGUCAUACUCAUCGACAUGCAAGUCGUGAUUCCUAUUACAAUAGCAUGAACAUCUCAUACAUGACAUAUAGAUCAUUCAUCAUUCAUCACAACUUUGGCCAUAUCAUAUCACAAAGCACUUGCUGCAAAAACAAAUUAGACGUCCUCUAAUUGUUGUUUGCAAGUUUUACGUGGCUGAAGUAGGGUUCUAGCAAGAACGUUUUCUUACCUACGUGAAACCACAACGUGAUUUGUCAACUUCUAUUUACCCUUCAUAAGGACCCUUUUCAUCGAAUCCGCUUCAACUAAAGUGGGAGAGACAGACACCCGCCAGCCACCUUAUGCAACUUGUGCAUGUUAGUCGGUGGAACCGGUCUCACGUAAGCGUACGUGUAAGGUUGGUCCGGGCCGCUUCAUCCUACAAUACCGCUGAAGCAAGAUAAGACUAGUAGCGGCAAGAAAGUUGACAAAUCUACGCCCACAACCAAUUGUGUUCUACUCGUGCAAGAAGAACUACGCAUAGACCUAGCUCAUGAUGCCACUGUUGGGUAACGUUGCAGAAAAUAAAAUUUUCCUACUCGUUUCACCAAGAUCAUCUAGGAGUUCAUCUAGCAACGAGUGAAUAGAUGCAUCUACAUACCUUGUAGAUCGCAAGCGGAAGCGUUCAAAGAACGGGGAUGAUGUAGUCGAACACGACGUGAUUCGAAUCACCGGAGAUCCUAGCACCGAACGGACGGCACCUCCGCGUUCAACACACGUAUGGAACAGCCACGUCUCCUCCUUCUUGAUCCAGCAAGGGAGGGAGGAGAGGUUGAGGGAGAUGGCACCAGCAGCAGCACGACGGCGUGGUGUUGAUGGAGCUGCAGUACUCCGGCAGAGCUUCGCUAAGCAAUAAGGAGGUGGAGGAGGUGUUGGGGAGGGAGAAGGAGGCAACCAAAGGCCAAGGACUCAAGGUAUGAAGUCCCUCCUCUCCCCCACUAUAUAUAGGGGUGCCAAGGGGGGGUGUCCGGCCCUAGGAGAUCCAAUCUCCUAGGGGGUGCGGCGGCCAGGGGGGGUUUCCCUCCCCCCCAAGGCACCUAGGAGGUGCCUUACCCUCCUAGGACUCUUUCCCCCUUAAACCCUAGGCGCAUGGGCCUAUGUGGGGCUGGUGCCCUUGGCCCAAGCAGGCCAAGGCGCACCCCCUACAGCCCAUGUGGCCCCCGGGGAUGGGUGGCCCCACCCGGUGGGCCCCCGGGACCCCUCCGGUGGUCCCGGUACAAUACCGAUAACCCCGAAACUUGUCCCGAUGCCCGAAACAGGACUUCCCAUAUAUAAAUCUUUACCUCCGGACCAUUCCGGAACUCCUCGUGACGUCCGGGAUCUCAUCCGGGACUCCGAACAACAUUCGGGUUACUGCAUAUACAUAUCCCUACAACCCUAGCGUAACUGAACCUUAAGUGUGUAGACCCUACGGGUUCGGGAGACAUGUAGACAUGACCGAGAUCGCUCUCCGGUCAAUAACCAACAGCGUGAUCUGGAUACCCAUGUUGGCUCCCACACGCUCCACGAUGAUCUCAUCGGAUGAACCACGAUGUCGAGGAUUUAAUCAACCCCGUAUGCAAUUCCCUUUGUCAAUCGAUAUGUUACUUGCCCGAGAUUCGAUCGUCGGUAUCCCAAUACCUCGUUCAAUCUUGUUACCGGCAAGUCACUUUACUCGUACCGUAAUGCAUGAUCCCGUGACCAAACACUUGGUCACUUUGAGCUCAUUAUGAUGAUGCAUUACUGAGUGGGCCCAGUGAUAUCUCUCCGUCAUACGGAGUGACAAAUCCCAGUCUCGAUCCAUAUAAAACAAUAGAUACUUUCGGAGAUACCUGUAGUGCACCUUUAUAGUCACCCAGUUACGUUGUGACGUUUGAUACACCCAAAGCACUCCUACGGUAUCCAGGAGUUAUACGAUCUCAUGGUCGAAGGAAGAGAUACUUUGACAUUGCAAAACUCUAGCAAACGAACUAUACGAUCUUGUGCUAUGUUUAGGAUUGGGUCUUGUCCAUCACAUCAUCAUCCUAAUGAUGUGAUCCCGUUAUCAAUGACAUCCAAUGUCCAUAGCCAGGAAACCAUGACUAUCUAUUGAUCAACGAGCUAGUCAACUAGAGGCUUACUAGGGACAUGUUGGUGUCUGUUAUUCACACAUGUAUUACGAUUUCCGGAUAACACAAUUAUAGCAUGAAUAAAGACAAUUAUCAUGAACAAAGAAAUAUAAUAAUAAUGCUUUUAUUAUUGCCUCUAGGGCAUAUUUCCAACAGCCCCGAGGUCCACCUCCGUGUUUUGGAGGAGGUCCAUGAACGAGGAUGGGGUUGCCAUUUUCUCGAACACCUCGUGCGCGGCGGGAGGAGGUUCGGCCACGGCGACAAAAGGAGGUUCGGCGAUGGAGGCGGGCGGGGGCACAGGCUUCUUCCGCGGCAUCUUCACGGCCGGGGCAACCUUGGAUGGCGCCUUCGGCCGGCUCUUCUUGGUGGCCGAGGCGGGAGCCGGGGAGGCAGCGGGGGCGGGUGCCGGGGCGGUGACGGUGGCCGGGGCGGGAGCCGGGGAGGUGGGAGGAGGAGGUGCGAGGCCCUCCCACCGCCGCUUGGCCCCGACAUGGGUCGCCGCCACCACGUCGGCCACGGUCGGGUGGGCGGGCACCGGGGCGGGCGCGGNNNNNNNNNNNNNNNNNNNNNNNNNNNNNNNNNNNNNNNNNNNNNNNNNNNNNNNNNNNNNNNNNNNNNNNNNNNNNNNNNNNNNNNNNNNNNNNNNNNNNNNNNNNNNNNNNNNNNNNNNNNNNNNNNNNNNNNNNNNNNNNNNNNNNNNNNNNNNNNNNNNNNNNNNNNNNNNNNNNNNNNNGGGGCCCUCCAUGGCCGGCGCGGCAGGAGGCGACGGGAGGAGGAGGCCGGGAGGAGUAGGGAGUUUCCUCCUGCGCGAGAGAGGAGGAGGAGUGCGGGUUGGGGGGAGAUUUCCCUCUCAACCCCUACUUCUACAGGUUGCAAACUGGUUUGAGGGUUGGACCUCUAAAUUUUUUUUACGGGUUUGAGGGUUUAGAGGUUCUAGUCUACGAUGUUUUUUCGGCGAAAACUGUAAAAAAAAAACGAUUAUUUUUAGAGGUUUGAGGGCUCUACUAGACUUGCUCUUAGGCGCUGUUUGGUGAUCCACUAGCUCCGCCAAAUUUGAGGAUCUGCAGAGCACCUAUUCCCCCACUCCGAGAUUUUUAACUUGAGCUCCGCCAACUCCCGGAGCGAGAGUGUGGAGCGGAGGAGGGCCGAACAGGCCCUUAGAGCAUUACUAGUAGAGCCCUCAAACCCCCAAAUCUUUAAAAAUAACUGCUUUUUUUUUACAGUUUUUGUUGAAAAAAAGCCAUAGACUAGAACCCCUUAACCCUCAAACCCUCAAUUUUUUUAAAGGUCCAACCCUCAAACCCUCUCCCAAUCCUCAAAAGUAAGGGUUGGGGAGCAAAACCUACCCAACCCUCAUUUGGCGGUUAUCCUCGCGCGGGAGGGAAAAAUCCUCCCAACUCCCGCGCCCACGCCCGCGACCGUCGCUGCUAGUCGCCCCCGUCGCCGGCGGCCGCCCCGUCGACCUCCCGCGCGCAACGACAACGUCGUUCAUGGGGAAUAUUCCGUUAUAAGGGUUGGGUUUGAGGGUUCUAAUCUUUGUCCCUGUUUUUCAACUCGUAAAAGUGCACAAAAAAAUAUUUUUGGACCCUUAAAACGUUAGUGAGGGUUUAAGGGUUUGAGGGUUCUACUAGUAAUGCUCUAAAACUGAAUGACCGGCCAGCAGCCCAACAUUCAGCAAGCAAACCUUGCUUCAAAUAAAGGGGGAGAAGAAAGGAAAAACGGAAAGAAAGCGGCAGAAGCAGCAAACAGGACUCAUGCAGUUUUUUUUUCUUUUUUUCUUUUUGAGCAGGGACUCACGCGGGUGCAAGACCUACUGCCCGUAAAACAAAACAUAAUGUCAUGGGCCGAAGAGAUAGCUUGGUACCUUAUGGCCCAACGACCUGCUUUAAUUAACUCAGGUUGUCGCUCUGCGGCGUGAUGAGCUAAUUGUACCACAUCGGUUGUGGAGAAAUAGUUUGAGGAUGACCCGGGUAUAAGAAAGAGAUCCCUGGGAUAAGGUACACCCAUCUUUGUGCUUGGGGCAAUGAGGCAGCUAGAGAGGUUAUACCGAGGCGCGUCAAUUGCUGAUUGAAAACUAUUUCUAAACCCCCUCUUUGACUCUCACGGGUCAUUGAGAAUUUUUGGAAGGGUUCCCUCUUUGAGGGUAAAACCCCACAAAUCAAUAUGUAGAAAAAGAUUUGACAAUAUCAACUCUUUGACCUUUGCCAAAUGUGAUGUUUGGGCUGUAACUUGUGGUACCUUUCAGCCUUUUCUUUCUGAAUGGCAGUUCAAAAAACAAACUUGUAUCAAAGUAAGACUAAUACUUCAUCCGUUCACAAAUUCUCUCUCCGUUUCUAAAUAUAAGACUUUUUAGAGAAUCCAAUACAGACUAAAUGCGAAGCAAAAUGAGUGAAUCGCAAUCUAAAAUACGUCAUUAUACAUUCUGAUGUAGUCCAAAUCUCUAAAAGGCUUAUAUUUAGAAACGAGGGAGUAUAAGAUGUUUCGAAUAUUUUAUUAAUAUGGAUUAUGUACGAACUGAAAUUAGUUAACAAAUACACUAAAGUAUGCCUAUAUACAUAGGAUUUAGAAAAAAGUUAGAAUAUCUUAUGCUUAUUUAUUAACGAACGGAGUAGUAGUCUAGCUAGUACUCCUCGGUGCUUCAAAGAAGCCGUAUAUAUUUUAUCCAAAGUCAAACAGUGCAAUGUUUGACCAAUUUUGUUCAAAAUACCAUCAAGACUACAAUAUCAUAUUAGUAUUGUUGAGUAUUGUCGUGGGAAUAAAUCUGACAAUAUGUAGAGGGAUAGUGACGGAUUGUUCCAAAGAAGAGUGCUCCCUCCGUUCCAAAAUAUUUGAAGUUUUAGGUUUCUUCUAAGCCAAACUUCUUUAUGUUUGACCAAGUCUAUAGAAAAUAUACCACCAUCUAAGACACUAAGUAGUUUUAUUAAAUUCAUCUAAUGUAUAUUUGCAUACUAUAUAUGUAGUUGAUGUUGUGGAUCUUAGUAUUUUUUUUUCUAUAAACUCGGCCAAACUUAAGGGAGUUUGACUUAGAACAAACCUAGAACUUCAAAUAUUUUGAAAUGGAGGUGGUAUUCUCCAAAAAAGAAAACUACAAACUUGUACACGUGUCCACCAUUUUCAUGAAGUAUUUUAUUUCCCAAUUCAAUUUUAUGCAGCUAGGGCUACAAUGUACAGACUAAUAUAAGUCUCAAUAAAAACAAGCUGAACCACAUGCUUAAUCCCCUACAUGGACAAUUCUACAGCAAGAAGCCGUGGCCAACCAUGAUGUAAAAUCUGAAAAUGAGGAAGAAAAGAAAAAAACAGAAGUAUCAACCAUCUAUAUGCACAAAAUAAGUUAGUAAUUGCAAAAGAAUAAAAAAAAAUCUGAUUUUUGUGGAAUCAAAUAUGAUUAAGUAUUAUACUCGUAUAAAAUGUUUCACCAAGAAAUAACUCCCGUUGAACUCAGGGCAAAAAAAUCGAGGAUAAUACAGUGUGAAUAGUAUUUGUAUAUAGCAUUUGAUUUUUUUUCACCCAAAUUACAAUGAAAGUCGGUCCUUGGCAAAUCUUUUUGUACGAGUUCAAUACUUGAUCAUAUUUGAUUUAAAAAAAGUUUCAGAUUUUUUGACAUUUUUUUCAGUCACUAAAUUAUUUUAUGCAUAUAGGGUUCGCUGACACCCGGGUGCACCAGGGUAUCUUCCCAGGUCUCACGUUAUCACGUAUAGGUACAAGACCUUUUUUUUUACUCGCAAAAAACAAAGGAACAAGACCUUUUUUUCUCAAAAACAAGAGUGAAUGGAAGAGUUUUUUUUUUCUUUUUGAGAAAAAAAAGGGUGAACGCAAGAGCUACUUCAAAAGACAGGACGUACCAUGGUCUGGAAGACGCCCCUACUCCCCCGUCCUUGGACGCAGAUCUGCUGGUAUGUAAUGGCCCAAUGGGCCUUCCUGUGUCGUUGAUUGGUUAUUUUUCGAAAGAAAGAAGUAUACAAAUCACUCUCAAAUCCAUUCUUUAGGAUACAUAACCUCCUAAACUCAAAACCGAGACAAAUAACACCCUGAAAUUACUAAAAUCGGGUUAAUAACCCCCUUGAGUGGUUUCUGUCCAAUCUAGAGCGGUUUUGUCCCCAUGAUGCAGAUUACGCGCUGACUGGACAAAUUACGCUGAGAAGGUCCCAUUAGUCAGUUGUCUCUCUCAUUUCUUCCUUUUUAUCACCUCGUCUCCUCCCUUUCUUUCUUCGUCAGAGCAGCAUCGCCUCCAGAAACGCCUCUCCCCUUUCGUUCGCUAGGACUUGGCAAUCGCAGGCGCCGUCCGCCAUCCGCCGUCGCCUGCCGCUUGCUCGUCCCCGAAGGAACGAAGCCAUGUGUCCAGGUGCGUGUGCCUCCAUCUCCGCUGUCGCUGUGCUAUACUUCUGGUGUCGUUCGUCGGCGGAAUCGCGAGCUCAUACAAGUGGCAGCGCCCACCGACGAUGGCUCCAUACGUACGGCCGGCCACGCGUUUCCUCAAAUUUACUAGUCUCCCGCCUGGCGCACGACGCAUUGCCAUGGCCGAGACUGAGCCGUCCGUCGUGUAGCAGUGAAACUGUUGCGGCGCCGCGCCCUGCAUGCGCACUCUGCGGUUGUGGUCGGGCGUUCUCAGCUUGCAACAGCGCUACGUCGCCCGGUCUUUGCUGGAAGGAGGGACCAAAUUAAUAAUCAACGUUGUUGUUCUCCUACAGGAGCCCGUUGCUUUUUAUAUCCGGACGGUGAAGUUCCGAAGGAUGCUCUGGUGAUUUGCGGGAUGUUGUGUAUCGAUUGAAGGAACGGUCAAGGAAUGAAAAUGGUCUGCUAAAUGCCAGCUUGGCGAAGAACAUGAUGCUAGAUGCGUAUGUGUGUGAUUUAGAAGUCAGCAUCGUGGAGAAGUUGAUGUCCUGAAGAAGAGGAUUCAGAAACUGCAGUUGUCCUUUGUGCUUGCUCUGUUCUGCUUUGUCAUUUCACACUUUUGGAAAUGAUUGUCAUGAAGAAAAAGAAGCAUCCUGGUGAAAUUAGUCCAAUAGGGAGUCAUUUAUGUAUGUUGUUUUUCUUUGUAAGCUGUUAAGCAAAAUUCAGAAUGUAUGAUGUUAAAAAGGUUUAGAAUUUGUCUUGUAUCUUGUUAUGCAAAAUUCAGAAUUUGGUACAAUGCUUCUUGGAAGUGUUAUGAAAAUAUUUGGAAUUUGGUACAAUGCAAAAUCGCAAUGCUAUGGCUGAUCUUCUUAUGUAUAUUGUAUACUGUAUGCUGAUCUGAAAAGAUUCGGAAUAUAUGUCUGAUCUUCUUAUA
RNAcentral lists this long non-coding RNA (27877 nucleotides) under Triticum aestivum (bread wheat). RNAcentral describes it as "long non-coding RNA (TAES_LNC026083)". The stretch from base 24617 to 24762 matches the Rfam family "U4 spliceosomal RNA". Lineage: Eukaryota; Viridiplantae; Streptophyta; Magnoliopsida; Poales; Poaceae. The record is from RNAcentral.